GAAUAUUGGUCAAUGGGGGAAACCCUGAACCAGCAACGCCGCGUGAAGGAAGAAGGCUUUCGGGUUGUAAACUUCUUUGACAGGGGACGAAACAAAUGACUGUACCCUGAAAACAAGCCACGGCUAACUACGUGCCAGCAGCCGCGGUAAUACGUAGGUGGCGAGCGUUAUCCGGAUUUACUGGGUGUAAAGGGCGCGUAGGCGGGCAUGCAAGUCAGAUGUGAAAUCUAUGGGCUUAACCCAUAGCGUGCAUUUGAAACUGUGUGUCUUGAGUGAUGGAGAGGUAAGUGGAAUUCCUAGUGUAGCGGUGGAAUGCGUAGAUAUUAGGAGGAACACCAGUGGCGAAGGCGGCUCACUGGCCUGUAACUGACGCUGAGGCUCGAAAGCGUGGGGAGCAAACA
This 401-nucleotide ribosomal RNA is filed under the name uncultured bacterium. RNAcentral describes it as "partial 16S ribosomal RNA". It matches the Rfam family "Bacterial small subunit ribosomal RNA", at positions 359 to 774 of the family's 1533-position model. The record is from RNAcentral.